UAACACCAGCGCCACAAGUGGCAACCGCUUUUAUUUGGCCUAAAGCGUCCGUAGCCGGUUCAGUAAAUUUUCUGUGAAAUCGUUAGGCUUAACCUAACGUCGUGCAGGAAAGACUACUGGACUAGGGACCGGGAGGCGUCAGAGGUAUUCCUGAGGGAGCGGUAAAAUGCUAUAAUCUCAGGAGGACCACCGAUGGCGAAGGCAUCUGACGAGAACGGAUCAGACGGUCAGGGACGAAAGCUAGGGGAGCAAACCGGAUUAGAUACCCGAGUAGUCCUAGCUGUAAACUCUGCGAGCUAGGUGUUACGCAUUCUUCGGGAAUGCGUAGUGUCGAAGCGAAGGUGUUAAGCUCGCCGCCUGGGAAUUAUGGUCGCAAGACUG
RNAcentral lists this ribosomal RNA (381 nucleotides) under uncultured euryarchaeote. RNAcentral describes it as "bacterial SSU rRNA". It matches the Rfam family "Archaeal small subunit ribosomal RNA", at positions 471 to 851 of the family's 1478-position model. The record is from RNAcentral. Lineage: Archaea; Methanobacteriati; Methanobacteriota.